Molecule: ribosomal RNA, 429 nt
Filed under: Chloroflexota bacterium
Lineage: Bacteria; Bacillati; Chloroflexota
Description: Chloroflexi bacterium partial 16S ribosomal RNA
Rfam family: Bacterial small subunit ribosomal RNA
Source: RNAcentral
UGGGGAAUAUUGCACAAUGGGCGCAAGCCUGAUGCAGCCAUGCCGCGUGUAUGAAGAAGGCCUUCGGGUUGUAAAGUACUUUCAGUCGGGAGGAAGGUGUCAAGGUUAAUAACCUUGGCAAUUGACGUUACCGACAGAAGAAGCACCGGCUAACUCCGUGCCAGCAGCCGCGGUAAUACGGAGGGUGCAAGCGUUAAUCGGAAUUACUGGGCGUAAAGCGCACGCAGGCGGUUGAUUGAGUCAGAUGUGAAAUCCCCGGGCUUAACCCGGGAAUUGCAUCUGAUACUGGUCAGCUAGAGUCUUGUAGAGGGGGGUAGAAUUCCAUGUGUAGCGGUGAAAUGCGUAGAGAUGUGGAGGAAUACCGGUGGCGAAAGCGGCCCCCUGGACAAAGACUGACGCUCAGGUGCGAAAGCGUGGGGAGCAAACAGG